UGCACAGUAGUUCAGUGGCAGCCCUUCUAGCUUUGGAAGGCGCCUGUUAAGCGGAGAUUCGCAGGUUCGAACCCUGCCUGUGCAGCCA
Molecule: transfer RNA, 88 nt
Filed under: Chloroflexota bacterium
Lineage: Bacteria; Bacillati; Chloroflexota
Description: Chloroflexi bacterium (hot springs metagenome) tRNA-Asn
Rfam family: tRNA
About the family: Transfer RNA (tRNA) molecules are approximately 80 nucleotides in length. Their secondary structure includes four short double-helical elements and three loops (D, anti-codon, and T loops). Further hydrogen bonds mediate the characteristic L-shaped molecular structure. tRNAs have two regions of fundamental functional importance: the anti-codon, which is responsible for specific mRNA codon recognition, and the 3' end, to which the tRNAs corresponding amino acid is attached (by aminoacyl-tRNA synthetases). tRNAs cope with the degeneracy of the genetic code in two manners: having more than one tRNA (with a specific anti-codon) for a particular amino acid; and 'wobble' base-pairing, i.e. permitting non-standard base-pairing at the 3rd anti-codon position.
Source: RNAcentral